This 305-nucleotide ribosomal RNA is filed under the name uncultured bacterium. RNAcentral describes it as "bacterial SSU rRNA". It matches the Rfam family "Bacterial small subunit ribosomal RNA", at positions 338 to 634 of the family's 1533-position model. The record is from RNAcentral.
CCUACGGGGGGCAGCAGUGGGGAAUAUUGGACAAUGGGCGCAAGCCUGAUCCAGCCAUGCCGCGUGUGUGAAGAAGGCCUUAUGGUUGUAAAGCACUUUAAGCGAGGAGGAGGCUACUUUAGAUAAUACCUAGAGAUAGUGGACGUUACUCGCAGAAUAAGCACCGGCUAACUCUGUGCCAGCAGCCGCGGUAAUACAGAGGGUGCAAGCGUUAAUCGGAUUUACUGGGCGUAAAGCGCGCGUAGGCGGCUAAUUAAGUCAAAUGUGAAAUCCCCGAGCUUAACUUGGGAAUUGCAUUCGAUACU